Long non-coding RNA from Gigantopelta aegis, 1002 nucleotides. RefSeq lists it as uncharacterized. Lineage: Eukaryota; Metazoa; Mollusca; Gastropoda; Neomphalida; Peltospiridae. The transcript is spliced from 2 exons. The record is from RefSeq and is a predicted model, not a curated record.
CCUACUAAGUCCUUUACUAAACAAAAUUGCGGUUAUGUUUUAGUAAAUAAAUGUUUUAAUAAUAUUAUUACAGUGCACUAUAGUUUUACAAGUUCAUAUUUUAUUUAUAAUGUAUCCUCCUCAUCGUAUUUGCUAUCGUGUGAGAGAAAACGCAUUGAUGGUAAAACAUUGGCGCCAAAAUGAUGGAAAGAUUUACUCGUUUGGGAAUUUUUGCAGGAUGUUGGGAGGUUUCUAGUUCAUACAGACAGGGUCUCUGGGUUAGGAGGACAAAUCGGGUCAACGGUGGGGGCAUAAAUUCAAACACAUUUUUUGGUUACAACAUAUCAACAUGGACUGCUUCAGCGAUAAUGCGUGAGCAACUUUACUGUUUUCAUUAUUUUUUUAAAUUUUAUUUUUGGCAAAAUGUUAGUUAAAUCAUGUCAAAUGUAUCAUUUUAAAAUCAGUAAUGUUUGGUUUCAAAUUAUUUUUACAUCAAAAGUUGAGUUUAAAAAUCCCAUUCACGUUAAAACUAAUAAAUGUCAUCUUUUUUUCAGAAUAGACCAGUUUGAUUUCGAGCAGUUGCUCGACCAGUGGAGGUAAGAUUAUUUUAUAGCUCACGAUAUUAUCAUAGUUGAUUUUUAAAAACAUUCUACACCAUGUUUUAUGUUCCACACGUCGAUGUUCGAAAGGUUACAAUAUACACAGCUUUGAUCAAUGCUUGUAUUUUAUGUAAUUUUUGUAUAUUUCCAGUGACGAAUUUUAUUCUAAUGUGGCGGCCACCACCACCACCACCACCGCCACCACCACCGCAGCAAGCCACCACCACCACCGCAGCAAGCCACCACCACCACCGCCGCCUCCACCACACCAACUGCCGCCGCCACCCUCACUACUACUACUACGACAUACCCUACACUGAGGGAUCUUUUAAACCCUGCCAAAAAAACGGAUAUAGACAGAAGAGAACUGAUUGAAGACCUAAACAAUUUAAUUUUACAAAUGCAAAAAAUAAAAUAAAAACUA